This 344-nucleotide transfer-messenger RNA is filed under the name Sphingomonas sp. AR_OL41. It matches the Rfam family "Alphaproteobacteria transfer-messenger RNA". From Rfam's summary of the family: Bacterial tmRNA, also known as 10Sa RNA or SsrA, is named for its dual tRNA and mRNA-like properties. Its role is to liberate the mRNA from a stalled ribosome. The record is from RNAcentral. Lineage: Bacteria; Pseudomonadati; Pseudomonadota; Alphaproteobacteria; Sphingomonadales; Sphingomonadaceae.
GGUCUGGACCCUGCGGCGACUCUCCCUAUAUGAGGAGGUGCCGGGUUCGCCCGGCUAUAGCGAUAAACUGAGGCGAUGUACUAGGCGCAGCGGACCCGGGGGCAGUACCCGGCGGCUCCACCAAAACCCUUCGCGCAAGCGAAGGGCUCUGACGGGGCCGAACCAGGAUCGACGUGUGUUGAAAGGCGCAGCUUUCGCUCGGAAUGGGACCACCGUGACGGCCCAUAUACAAGUGCCAACGAUAACGAGGCGCUCGCAAUUGCCGCGUAACUGAUGGUUUAACGACCUAAGUUAUAUGGACGAAAGCGCGGUUGGGACCGCACCGGGCAACAGAAGCGGAAACC